GAUGAACGCUGGCGGCGUGCCUAAUACAUGCAAGUCGAGCGAACAGACGAGGAGCUUGCUCCUCUGACGUUAGCGGCGGACGGGUGAGUAACACGUGGAUAACCUACCUAUAAGACUGGGAUAACUUCGGGAAACCGGAGCUAAUACCGGAUAAUAUAUUGAACCGCAUGGGUCAAUAGUGAAAGACGGUUUUGCUGUCACUUAUAGAGGGAUCCGCGCCGCAUUAGCUAGUUGGUAAGGUAACGGCUUACCAAGGCAACGAUGCGUAGCCGACCUGAGAGGGUGAUCGGCCACACUGGAACUGAGCCACGGUCCAGACUCCUGCGGGAGGCAGCAGUAGGGAAUCUUACGCAAUGGGCGAAAGCCUGACGGAGCAACGCCGCGUGAGUGAUGAAGGUCUUCGGAUCGUAAAACUCUGUUAUUAGGGAAGAACAAAUGUGUAAGUAACUAUGCACGUCUUGACGGUACCUAAUCAGAAAGCCACGGCUAACUACGUG
RNAcentral lists this ribosomal RNA (497 nucleotides) under uncultured bacterium. RNAcentral describes it as "partial 16S ribosomal RNA". It matches the Rfam family "Bacterial small subunit ribosomal RNA", at positions 28 to 507 of the family's 1533-position model. The record is from RNAcentral.